AUUGAACGCUGGCGGCAUGCCUUACACAUGCAAGUCGAACGGUAACAGGUCUUCGGAUGCUGACGAGUGGCGAACGGGUGAGUAAUACAUCGGAACGUGCCCGAUCGUGGGGGAUAACGAAGCGAAAGCUUUGCUAAUACCGCAUACGAUCUACGGAUGAAAGCGGGGGAUCUUCGGACCUCGCGCGGACGGAGCGGCCGAUGGCAGAGUAGGUAGUUGGUGGGAUAAAAGCUUACCAAGCCGACGAUCUGUAGCUGGUCUGAGAGGAUGAUCAGCCACACUGGGACUGAGACACGGCCCAGACUCCUACGGGAGGCAGCAGUGGGGAAUUUUGGACAAUGGGCGCAAGCCUGAUCCAGCCAUGCCGCGUGCAGGAUGAAGGCCUUCGGGUUGUAAACUGCUUUUGUACGGAACGAAAAGGUGCCUUCUAAUAAAGGGCGCUCAUGACGGUACCGUAAGAAUAAGCACCGGCUAACUACGUG
RNAcentral lists this ribosomal RNA (482 nucleotides) under uncultured bacterium. Its description in RNAcentral is "partial 16S ribosomal RNA". It matches the Rfam family "Bacterial small subunit ribosomal RNA", at positions 30 to 507 of the family's 1533-position model. The record is from RNAcentral.